This is a long non-coding RNA of Fundulus heteroclitus (mummichog), 506 nucleotides long. RefSeq lists it as uncharacterized. The record is from RefSeq and is a predicted model, not a curated record. NCBI's taxonomy places the organism in Eukaryota, Metazoa, Chordata, Actinopteri, Cyprinodontiformes, Fundulidae. The transcript has 4 exons.
AGAGAAGACGGAUGCACAAAAGCUUGCGGUAAGAAUAUAUUUGACUGCUAGCUAAGCUAAAAGUAGCCUAGCCAUAACCCAAAGCUAAGGGUGUAUUUUUUGUGAUUUACAGUACGCCGUCUUCACAACUCGGAGACAAAUUGCAGGCGCUAUGAACCGGCGCAAGGACUAAGCACGCCUCAUAAUGAGGCAGUUACCUCCUAUCUGCUCGGAGCAAUAACUGCAAGCCUCGAUUUACACUAUAUUGUUAAAGACGACAUUGUGUCCGCCUGUAAGACGUAUUACGAGACGGUACGCAGGAGCUUCAGAUAUACGCAGCCAGAGAACUCAAUGCGGGCGGAAGCUGCCAAGAAUUCAGCUCGGAGUCGAGCUAGAAGAAAGAGGCUGCAGGAAUCGAGGCAGAGCGUGCUAGCUGAUGAGGAAGUGGAACUCUGGAUGUCCGCCACCGUCGACCUCAUGUCUGACGAGGAAGAUGGCGUCGUUGGCGGGGCGCCGUCAUUUCGUAG